AUGAACUGGGGGGGAGAAAAUCACUACUGGUUGCUUUGCUUGCAGUUCGCAUUUGGACUUGUGCUUGCAGAAAUUGAGCUGAACUUCCUUCAGUGUUACUGCAUCUGUGAGGUUCAUAUGUGGAUACCGUUGACCCCCGAGGGACAGCACUGGGAGAUGAUACGCAACUUUUAAGGGAUUAACAAUGAUGUGGCUCUCUUACAUCAAGAAGUGAGAAAAUUUUGGAGGUAAAGUAAAGGGGAAAUAAAGUAGAAAUGAUUCUUAAGUCA
Molecule: long non-coding RNA, 269 nt
Filed under: Oryctolagus cuniculus (rabbit)
Lineage: Eukaryota; Metazoa; Chordata; Mammalia; Lagomorpha; Leporidae
Description: lncRNA (ENSOCUG00000036912.1)
Source: RNAcentral